GGGUCACAAAGAAAAUAAAUGAGAUAUGCAUUUGGUGCCAUACACUCAACAGAGGCGCAGUGCUACAGAGACCAGGACAUUCGUUUGUUGUUAGACAACACUGAUUUGGAUAAUAAGUCAAAGCCUGGAACAGCGCUAAUCUGACUACAUUUGCAAUGCAUUCACAGGAUAACUGUGCAGAUACAACGCACGAGAAGCUGCUUACCAAAUAUAAUACCUUUGAGAUGUGGUGAAUUCACAGAAGAACAUUGUCGGGAAUGACUAAUGAAUAUAUCAACAGGCAAGAGAAAUUCCUACCACAAGCUAUUCUUCCAAAACAACCCAUAUUCAUUCAACUAUGUUGGCAUAGUUUGGAAUUACCAAAGUUGCAGGAGACAUCAAGGGCAGAAUAUUCAGUGGAACUGUGGGUUAGGUCCUUUCCACUGAAUACUCUGGGAGUGGAAGAAGGCAACUUGAAGAGUUCAUCUCUUUUUACGUACUGUCAAAUUCUGAAAAAAAUCUACUCAUGAGGGCCUAAAUGAAUGUCACAAGAGCCAUUCAACGUAGCAGUCCUGUGAAAACAUAAGGGCAGCAAUAUCUACAGAAAAUUUCACAGAAGCUCAAUGAUGAAAAAGAAAUAACCUGACGGAGA
Molecule: long non-coding RNA, 631 nt
Filed under: Fukomys damarensis (Damara mole-rat)
Lineage: Eukaryota; Metazoa; Chordata; Mammalia; Rodentia; Bathyergidae
Description: lncRNA (ENSFDAG00000022766.1)
Source: RNAcentral